AUGUGGGGGCUGGGCAGUGCACUGUGGGAGAGGUGGGGCACGGGGACCUGGGGAGCCUCCUGGCCCAAGGGGACCAGGCACAGGGCAGCAGUUCUGUUCUCAUCCUUCACCACUUCCCCUGUACCCCAAAAAGUGCCCUUUAGGGCAAAGGCUGCAUUUUUCUCCACGGGUCCCCACCUUGGGUCCCCAGCUGUGCCCCGGGCCACGUCCCGCCAUCCCAGGAGCCCGACCCCCCCACGCGGCGGCGUCUGUUACCUGACAACUGACACUGGCAUCCAAAGGGAACCUCCGUCUGACCCUCACCCUGAGUCCCGUCGCCCGACACCGGGCGCGCGCUGCAGCAGGGCAGCGGGAAGCAGGGCGGGAGUGCGCCUAGGGCACGCAGAGCCUUCUCCUAGAAAGAGCAACAAUGAGGCCAGGCUGCGUCUGUGAAGGCAAGACCCACACCACACAAGACCGCUGAGCAGCGAGGUGGAAGCAGAAGGACAAAGACAUCCUCCCUGCUGAGAGUGAAACCCCGGCUGUCUUGAUUUCCUACCGCGGAAGUUCAUUCAUUAGGGAGAAAGAAAUAAACAGCCGACAUCUGUACAUCUCCUGUAAACCCCGCGCCUUCCCGAGUGGUGGGCAUAACGAUCCCGUCCCAGUUGGGGAAACUGAGGCUCAGAAAGGCUGGA
Molecule: long non-coding RNA, 674 nt
Filed under: Fukomys damarensis (Damara mole-rat)
Lineage: Eukaryota; Metazoa; Chordata; Mammalia; Rodentia; Bathyergidae
Description: lncRNA (ENSFDAG00000033371.1)
Source: RNAcentral